RNAcentral lists this transfer-messenger RNA (375 nucleotides) under Bacilli. RNAcentral's name for it is "UBA3210 sp900755065 Standard tmRNA". It matches the Rfam family "transfer-messenger RNA". From Rfam's summary of the family: Bacterial tmRNA, also known as 10Sa RNA or SsrA, is named for its dual tRNA and mRNA-like properties. RNAcentral also lists the same sequence under 2 other names. Lineage: Bacteria; Bacillati; Bacillota. The record is from RNAcentral.
GGGGAUGUUCCGGUUUCGACGGGACAGGUAAGGUAUAAGGCGCAGUCGGGUGGUCGCGUCAAAGACCAAAAAACAAUAUCUGGCAACAGAUCUCAACUUUCCUACGCAGCUUGCUAGUUUAAGCCAUCGAUGAUGUUCCCGUAUCGGGAAUGCGAGGCAUCUUCCGCGAUCGGGUCUCUGGGUCGCGGACAGGUGUAAGAUUCAGAGAAUAAGGUCCGUCGAUAUCUAUAAGGCGGAUUCGAAAACAGCAUAGGUUAGUCAGGAGUCGAUCCGUCAGCCGAUCCCGCUCCUGAUGAAGGCGCAUGGCUGACUAAACUGUAGGGGCUUAUAUGGGAUCUGUUUCGGACAGGAGUUCGAUUCUCCUCAUCUCCACCA